This 315-nucleotide ribosomal RNA is filed under the name uncultured bacterium. Its description in RNAcentral is "bacterial SSU rRNA". It matches the Rfam family "Bacterial small subunit ribosomal RNA", at positions 28 to 334 of the family's 1533-position model. The record is from RNAcentral.
GAUGAACGCUAGCGGCAGGCUUAACACAUGCAAGUCGCGGGGCAGCGAGGGGAUUGGCAACAAUCCCUGUCGGCGACCGGCGCAAGGGUGCGUAACGCGUGAGCAACAUGCCCGUCUCAGGGGGAUAACCGGUGGAAACGCCGCCUAAUACCCCAUGGCGAUAUAUUGAGGCAUCUUGAUAUAUCUAAAGCUCCGGCGGAGACGGAUUGGCUCGCGUGACAUUAGCUGGACGGCGGGGUAACGGCCCACCGUGGCUACGAUGUCUAGGGGUUCUGAGAGGAAGGUCCCCCACAUUGGAACUGAGACACGGUCCAA